Molecule: ribosomal RNA, 253 nt
Filed under: uncultured bacterium
Lineage: Bacteria
Description: partial 16S ribosomal RNA
Rfam family: Bacterial small subunit ribosomal RNA
Source: RNAcentral
UACGUAGGGGGCAAGCGUUGUCCGGAAUCAUUGGGCGUAAAGAGCGUGUAGGCGGCCUGAUAAGUCGGCUGUGAAAGUCCAGGGCUCAACCCUGGAAUGCCAGUGGAUACUGUCGGGCUAGAGUACGGAAGAGGCGAGUGGAAUUCCUGGUGUAGCGGUGAAAUGCGCAGAUAUCAGGAGGAACACCAAUUGCGAAGGCAGCUCGCUGGGACGUAACUGACGCUGAGACGCGAAAGCGUGGGGAGCAAACAGG